This 106-nucleotide ribosomal RNA is filed under the name Alternaria obclavata. Its description in RNAcentral is "partial 18S ribosomal RNA". It matches the Rfam family "Eukaryotic small subunit ribosomal RNA", at positions 1726 to 1830 of the family's 1831-position model. Lineage: Eukaryota; Fungi; Ascomycota; Dothideomycetes; Pleosporales; Pleosporaceae. The record is from RNAcentral.
GGUUGGCAACGACCACCCCAAGCCGGAAAGUUCUCCAAACUCGGUCAUUUAGAGGAAGUAAAAGUCGUAACAAGGUCUCCGUAGGUGAACCUGCGGAGGGAUCAUU